Molecule: long non-coding RNA, 467 nt
Organism: Culex pipiens pallens (northern house mosquito)
Lineage: Eukaryota; Metazoa; Arthropoda; Insecta; Diptera; Culicidae
Exons: 3
Source: RefSeq, a predicted model, not a curated record
GUCAGACGUCAGUGAGUUAGCAAAAUUCCAGCCAUUUCAGUGCCAACAAUCUGCAGCUUUUUCCAGACAUUUUUCUUUAUCCGACGUGCGGCGUCCCGGUGGCUACUUGGUUCGGCGGGACAACAAAUGUGUGGGUGUUUUUUCUAAGGGGUCUCAAGCAGAUUGGUCAAAAUUGAUCACAACUGGUGUGACAAGGUCUUGGAUUUGUUCGAAACGGCCGGCUUUGGCUAGACGCCGUACGCCAACAUCCGGAUGACCACCGCGAGCAGCGGCCACAUUAAUCGCAAACCAGUUCGACGAACCGCCGGCCGAAAAUUCCAAACAAAUCUAGCAACUUGUUCCAGAGGACGCGUACUAGACUGGCGGGCUGGCACCUGCCUGGCCUCCUUCCCCACCGUUUGAGCGUCCAAAAUAAAACGGAUGCCCAAAAAAGUUCCCUGAAAGGCAAAAAAAAUAAAAAUUAUAAC